RNAcentral lists this long non-coding RNA (394 nucleotides) under Chloebia gouldiae (Gouldian finch). RNAcentral's name for it is "Erythrura gouldiae (Gouldian finch) lncRNA (ENSEGOG00005001593.1)". Lineage: Eukaryota; Metazoa; Chordata; Aves; Passeriformes; Passeridae. The record is from RNAcentral.
CCGUGCUCUCAAGGCCAUGGGGAUGGAGAGCCCAAAAAGAAGGAUUUUGUUGCCUGUCUCCCAAGAAAGUCGCUCCUGGCCACCAGCACAGGGAGUGAUGUAAAAGAGCUUUGUGUGGCUUGUCAGCAGGAAGGCUCCAGCUGGGACUGGGAAUGGCACGCACGAGGAUUUAUGGUGAUGAAUGGGGUGACCCCUCUGGGAGCCAGCAGAAAAGGAGGAGAAGGCUGCAUCUUCCACCCCCUGAGUCCUGGGAAGAUGAAGAGUGAAUCCAAAAGAGGUUAUGCCUCGUGGAGAUGGGCUCUCUGUCCAGCAAGUGGGGGAUUCCCAAGAGAAAGAUGGUUUUCUGUGGAAAGAAGGUCACAACCAGCACCAGAGUGGGACUGGAGGGAUUGGG